This 73-nucleotide transfer RNA is filed under the name Fasciola hepatica (liver fluke). It matches the Rfam family "tRNA". From Rfam's summary of the family: Transfer RNA (tRNA) molecules are approximately 80 nucleotides in length. Lineage: Eukaryota; Metazoa; Platyhelminthes; Trematoda; Plagiorchiida; Fasciolidae. The record is from Rfam by way of RNAcentral.
ACCGCGAUAGCUCAGUUGGUAGAGCAUCUGCUCGGUAGGCGGAGUGUCGCUGGUUCGAUUCCGGCUCGCGGCG